Molecule: long non-coding RNA, 477 nt
Organism: Prunus persica (peach)
Lineage: Eukaryota; Viridiplantae; Streptophyta; Magnoliopsida; Rosales; Rosaceae
Exons: 2
Source: RefSeq, a predicted model, not a curated record
CUCUCCACAACUCGAGGAAAACGACGACGUCUUCUGGUGUUAUAGUAACCUUGUAGAACUACGACCGUUGGGAACGAGGGCUCUGAAUCGUCGUCUACAACGCUGAAUGGUGUUGGGAUGCUGUGGCCUCUAAUUCCGUUAGUCGCAUGGGAACAGAACAGUCUUGUUAAGUUAUAAGCACUUUGGCUGCUUGUUUUAUUGCUGUUUUCUGAGGUGGAAAUCUGCUCGAAACGAGUACUUCAUCAACUAGUCCGUACGAGACCCUUUGGUUAUUGGACUCUCUUUUUGAUCCGAGAAUACUAUCCCUCAGUGAUUUCAUUUAGUUGUUUAUUUCCAUUACCAUUAAUUGGGUUAUCAAAUGAAAAUAAAAACUAUUUAAUAUCUGCACAAUCUUUUCAUCAGAGUAAAACACCAAAAAGAAGACUUCAAUUUGAGCAAGUUUUGACAAAUAUAUAUAAAUAUGGACCAUAUGAGAAA